AGAGUUUGAUCAUGGCUCAGAUUGAACGCUGGCGGCAGGCCUAACACAUGCAAGUCGAACGGUAACAGGAAGCAGCUUGCUGCUUUGCUGACGAGUGGCGGACGGGUGAGUAAUGUCUGGGAAACUGCCUGAUGGAGGGGGAUAACUACUGGAAACGGUGGCUAAUACCGCAUAACGUCGCAAGACCAAAGAGGGGGACCUUCGGGCCUCUUGCCAUCAGAUGUGCCCAGAUGGGAUUAGCUAGUUGGUGAGGUAACGGCUCACCAAGGCGACGAUCCCUAGCUGGUCUGAGAGGAUGACCAGCCACACUGGAACUGAGACACGGUCCAGACUCCUACGGGAGGCAGCAGUGGGGAAUAUUGCACAAUGGGCGCAAGCCUGAUGCAGCCAUGCCGCGUGUAUGAAGAAGGCCUUCGGGUUGUAAAGUACUUUCAGCGGGGAGGAAGGUGUUGUGGUUAAUAACCGCAGCAAUUGACGUUACCCGCAGAAGAAGCACCGGCUAACUCCGUGCCAGCAGCCGCGGUAAUACGGAGGGUGCAAGCGUUAAUCGGAAUUACUGGGCGUAAAGCGCACGCAGGCGGUCUGUCAAGUCGGAUGUGAAAUCCCCGGGCUCAACCUGGGAACUGCAUUCGAAACUGGCAGGCUUGAGUCUUGUAGAGGGGGGUAGAAUUCCAGGUGUAGCGGUGAAAUGCGUAGAGAUCUGGAGGAAUACCGGUGGCGAAGGCGGCCCCCUGGACAAAGACUGACGCUCAGGUGCGAAAGCGUGGGGAGCAAACAGGAUUAGAUACCCUGGUAGUCCACGCCGUAAACGAUGUCUACUUGGAGGUUGUGCCCUUGAGGCGUGGCUUCCGGAGCUAACGCGUUAAGUAGACCGCCUGGGGAGUACGGCCGCAAGGUUAAAACUCAAAUGAAUUGACGGGGGCCCGCACAAGCGGUGGAGCAUGUGGUUUAAUUCGAUGCAACGCGAAGAACCUUACCUGGUCUUGACAUCCACGGAAGUUUUCAGAGAUGGAGUGGUGCCUUCGGGAACCGUGAGACAGGUGCUGCAUGGCUGUCGUCAGCUCGUGUUGUGAAAUGUUGGGUUAAGUCCCGCAACGAGCGCAACCCUUAUCCUUUGUUGCCAGCGGUCCGGCCGGGAACUCAAAGGAGACUGCCAGUGAUAAACUGGAGGAAGGUGGGGAUGACGUCAAGUCAUCAUGGCCCUUACGACCAGGGCUACACACGUGCUACAAUGGCGCAUACAAAGAGAAGCGACCUCGCGAGAGCAAGCGGACCUCAUAAAGUGCGUCGUAGUCCGGAUUGGAGUCUGCAACUCGACUCCAUGAAGUCGGAAUCGCUAGUAAUCGUGGAUCAGAAUGCCACGGUGAAUACGUUCCCGGGCCUUGUACACACCGCCCGUCACACCAUGGGAGUGGGUUGCAAAAGAAGUAGGUAGCUUAACCUUCGGGAGGGCGCUUACCACUUUGUGAUUCAUGACUGGGGUGAAGUCGUAACAAGGUAACCGUAGGGGAACCUGCGGUUG
Molecule: ribosomal RNA, 1522 nt
Filed under: Salmonella enterica subsp. enterica serovar 6,7:lw:-
Lineage: Bacteria; Pseudomonadati; Pseudomonadota; Gammaproteobacteria; Enterobacterales; Enterobacteriaceae
Description: bacterial SSU rRNA
Rfam family: Bacterial small subunit ribosomal RNA
Source: RNAcentral